AUGAUCGUGCCGCUGCUGCUGCUGCUGCUGAGCGCGUGUGUUAGCACGGGCUUCUCCUACGACAGCCAUGAGGAGCAGUAUGGGAACACACACAAGAUAUUACUCCCUCGACGGGCUCACUCACUCAAGUUCAUCCCUGAGGCCCACUACUCACAUGAGACGAUCUUGUGGAAACGGGACGACCCUGAGGCCAGUGAGGGCGGCAGGGGGAGGGUGAUGGGUAACUAUUACGUGAUACAUCAUUUAACCCAGCAGGACAAUGGCCGCUACGUAAUGCUUGACCAAAAUCAGAGACAGGUGUCCAAAAGGGCCAUCUGGGUAACAGCAAAUCAGAUUUCCUAUGCACUGACUCCUGGUGCACUUCUCAACAUCUCUUCUCAUAUCGACCCAGCCUCCUGCUACAUUUACUUCUACCCAGAGGACAAUACACACCUGAUAAAAGAUGAGGCUGAGAUCGUUUAUAAGGGGAAGCUAAAGCGUGUAUAUACUUGUAAAGGGUUGGAAUUGAUGGAGCCCUGUGGUGUUUUAAAAACUUCCGUCCAAAAUUCGUGCAGUGGACGUUUUGAGUUCCGGGAUGCUUCCGAUGACCUAGCUUUGGAGGUGUUUGUGACUGUAGAGUCUCCAACUUAUGAUCCAUCGCACAUCGGUAUUGGCAUUGGUGCUUGUCUUGCUUCAUUUUUCUGCUGCUGUUGCGUGAGGCGCUGCUGUUGUAAAAAAAACGCCUCGAAAAAGGACGGCGCUGAGACUGAUGCUGCCGCCGCUGAACCGGCUGUAGUUUACCGUGAGUAUGUCCAUGAGCCUGUUGCAGUGGGGUCAGGCCGACUCAGUCAGCCCAGUGAGACACACCCCCCCAACCCGCCUUCUUAUGCUCCGACCGGCCCACUGAUACACAGUCCUCCCACUGUGAAUUCACCACCUGCUUAUUCUGAGGUUUCAGCUCCAGCCGAGCAGGCCAGUGCUCCGACUGCCCCCCUCUACUCUGACCCUGGGAUCCAGUUUGAACUGAAGGGGCGGAACUUCCCCUCUGCUCCCCCACUCAGUUCAGAUUCCACUUUCUGUCAUGUUUAUACCUCAGACAAACUCAACUACAUCUGA
Molecule: long non-coding RNA, 1095 nt
Filed under: Scophthalmus maximus (turbot)
Lineage: Eukaryota; Metazoa; Chordata; Actinopteri; Pleuronectiformes; Scophthalmidae
Description: lncRNA (ENSSMAG00000024656.1)
Source: RNAcentral